UACAGAGGGUGCGAGCGUUAAUCGGAAUUACUGGGCGUAAAGCGUGCGUAGACGGUUAUUUAAGUCGGGUGUGAAAGCCCCGGGCUCAACCUGGGAAUUGCAUUCGAGACUGAAUAGCUAGGGUACGGUAGAGGGAAGCGGAAUUUCCGGUGUAGCGGUGAAAUGCGUAGAUAUCGGAAGGAACAUCAGUGGCGAAGGCGACUACCUGGCCUGUUCUUGACGCUGAGGCGCGAAAGCUAGGGGAGCAAACGGG
This 253-nucleotide ribosomal RNA is filed under the name uncultured bacterium. Its description in RNAcentral is "partial 16S ribosomal RNA". It matches the Rfam family "Bacterial small subunit ribosomal RNA", at positions 524 to 776 of the family's 1533-position model. The record is from RNAcentral.